Molecule: long non-coding RNA, 326 nt
Organism: Micropterus dolomieu (smallmouth bass)
Lineage: Eukaryota; Metazoa; Chordata; Actinopteri; Centrarchiformes; Centrarchidae
Exons: 3
Source: RefSeq, a predicted model, not a curated record
GAUUUACAUGAGUGGCGUGCACUUCACAAGACAAGAUGAGGAAUACAUACAAAGUCUGCAAACUGAGCAGGAAAGGGACACUCUGGUUCCUGAAGAGACCACUCCUCAAAACAUCUGAUCUGGGUCCUCUGAUACCACUGCUGGCUUCCUGGAUUUGAGUCAUGUCAAAGAAACUACCGAACCAGAUCUGAAAACCUUACUGACAACUCUAGCAUCAAAAGUCUGGAUUGGAGAGACGCCCAGCAGUAAUAUGAUCAAUGUAUGCAGAGAAAACAUAAUGGAUGGUGCCAUGCGAGCCUUUACAAGAAGGAGUUUCAAUCCAGAGG